GUUGGGUAGGGGAGCGUUCUGUAAGCCUGUGAAGGUGGCCUGUGAGGGUUGCUGGAGGUAUCAGAAGUGCGAAUGCUGACAUAAGUAACGAUAAAGCGGGUGAAAAGCCCGCUCGCCGGAAGACCAAGGGUUCCUGUCCAACGUUAAUCGGGGCAGGGUGAGUCGACCCCUAAGGCGAGGCCGAAAGGCGUAGUCGAUGGGAAACGGGUUAAUAUUCCCGUACUUGGUGUUACUGCGAAGGGGGGACGGAGAAGGCUAUGUUGGCCGGGCGACGGUUGUCCCGGUUUAAGCGUGUAGGUGUGUGUUCCAGGUAAAUCCGGUUCACUUUAACACUGAGGCGUGAUGACGAGGCACUACGGUGCUGAAGCAACAAAUGCCCUGCUUCCAGGAAAAGCCUCUAAGCAUCAGGUAACAUCAAAUCGUACCCCAAACCGACACAGGUGGUCAGGUAGAGAAUACCAAGGCGCUUGAGAGAACUCGGGUGAAGGAACUAGGCAAAAUGGUGCCGUAACUUCGGGAGAAGGCACGCUGACACGUAGGUGAAGUGAUUUACUCAUGGAGCUGAAGUCAGUCGAAGAUACCAGCUGGCUGCAACUGUUUAUUAAAAACACAGCACUGUGCAAACACGAAAGUGGACGUAUACGGUGUGACGCCUGCCCGGUGCCGGAAGGUUAAUUGAUGGGGUCAGCGCAAGCGAAGCUCCUGAUCGAAGCCCCGGUAAACGGCGGCCGUAACUAUAACGGUCCUAAGGUAGCGAAAUUCCUUGUCGGGUAAGUUCCGACCUGCACGAAUGGCGUAAUGAUGGCCAGGCUGUCUCCACCCGAGACUCAGUGAAAUUGAACUCGCUGUGAAGAUGCAGUGUACCCGCGGCAAGACGGAAAGACCCCGUGAACCUUUACUAUAGCUUGACACUGAACAUUGAGCCUUGAUGUGUAGGAUAGGUGGGAGGCUUUGAAG
This 957-nucleotide ribosomal RNA is filed under the name Salmonella enterica. Its description in RNAcentral is "bacterial LSU rRNA". It matches the Rfam family "Bacterial large subunit ribosomal RNA", at positions 1223 to 2162 of the family's 2925-position model. Lineage: Bacteria; Pseudomonadati; Pseudomonadota; Gammaproteobacteria; Enterobacterales; Enterobacteriaceae. RNAcentral also lists the same sequence under 1 other name. The record is from RNAcentral.